Long non-coding RNA from Epinephelus lanceolatus (giant grouper), 355 nucleotides. RefSeq lists it as uncharacterized. NCBI's taxonomy places the organism in Eukaryota, Metazoa, Chordata, Actinopteri, Perciformes, Serranidae. The record is from RefSeq and is a predicted model, not a curated record.
GGGUUGGAAAGUUCUCCAUGAUGGUGGAGGGUGAACAAUUUCACAGGAGGAGGGAGGAUGCAAGGAAACGCAAGUUGCCAGAGUAUAACUUUGCCGUUGCUGUGAGGCUGCUGUGCUGGAGGCCGAUGGAGACCUUCCAGAGCCUGAGCUGCUGAGAGGAAACACCGACUGUUGGUGCCUUUGCUCAAAUUGGCCUCCAAUGCCAACAGAAACAGAAUCAUUCUGCAGCAAUAAAUUUCAGUGUGAUGGAUGCUGGAGACCUUCAGGAUCCCGCAGAUAGACUGAAGAAGAUGACCAAGACCAGCAGGAUGGAGAGGGCAGGUCACCACUGAGUACUUUUUCACCUACCCUUUUG